RNAcentral lists this ribosomal RNA (109 nucleotides) under Coptotermes testaceus. The record is from RNAcentral. Lineage: Eukaryota; Metazoa; Arthropoda; Insecta; Blattodea; Rhinotermitidae.
CGGCCAUACCACGUUGAAUAGACCGGUUCUCGUCUCAUCGCCGCAGUAAACCAAUGUGGGCAUGGAUAGUACUUGGAUGGGUGACCGCGUGGGAAGACCAUGUGCUGUU